Molecule: ribosomal RNA, 906 nt
Filed under: Gloniopsis calami
Lineage: Eukaryota; Fungi; Ascomycota; Dothideomycetes; Hysteriales; Hysteriaceae
Description: partial large subunit ribosomal RNA
Rfam family: Eukaryotic large subunit ribosomal RNA
Source: RNAcentral
UAGCAUAUCAAUAAGCGGAGGAAAAGAAACCAACAGGGAUUGCCUCAGUAACGGCGAGUGAAGCGGCAACAGCUCAAAUUUGAAAUCUGGCUCUUUCAGGGUCCGAGUUGUAAUUUGUAGAGGAUGCUUCGGCGUGGGCCCCGGUCUAAGUUCCUUGGAACAGGACGUCACAGAGGGUGAGAAUCCCGUACGUGGCCGGCGGUGCUCGCCAUGUGAAGCUCCUUCGACGAGUCGAGUUGUUUGGGAAUGCAGCUCUAAAUGGGAGGUAAAUUUCUUCUAAAGCUAAAUACCGGCCAGAGACCGAUAGCGCACAAGUAGAGUGAUCGAAAGAUGAAAAGCACUUUGGAAAGAGAGUCAAAAAGUACGUGAAAUUGUUGAAAGGGAAGCGCUUGCAACCAGACCUGACCGUAGUUGCUCAUCCGGGCUCUUGCCCGGUGCACUCUUCUGCGAGCAGGCCAGCAUCAGUUCUGGCGGUCGGAUAAAGGCGGCGGGAAUGUGGCUCCUCUCGGGGAGUGUUAUAGCCCGCCGUGUCAUGCGGCCAGCCGGGACUGAGGUCCGCGCUUCGGCUAGGAUGCUGGCGUAAUGGUUGUAAGCGGCCCGUCUUGAAACACGGACCAAGGAGUCUAACAUCUGUGCGAGUGUUUGGGUGUCAAGCCCGGGCGCGUAAUGAAAGUGAACGGAGGCGGGAACCUUUGGGUGCACCGUCGACCGAUCCUGAUGUCUUCGGAUGGAUUUGAGUAAGAGCAUAGCUGUUGGGACCCGAAAGAUGGUGAACUAUGCCUGAAUAGGGUGAAGCCAGAGGAAACUCUGGUGGAGGCUCGCAGCGGUUCUGACGUGCAAAUCGAUCGUCAAAUUUGGGCAUAGGGGCGAAAGACUAAUCGAACUAUCUAGUAGCUGGUUCCUGCC